This 21-nucleotide microRNA is filed under the name Dictyostelium discoideum. RNAcentral describes it as "ddi-miR-1177". Lineage: Eukaryota; Evosea; Eumycetozoa; Dictyosteliales; Dictyosteliaceae. RNAcentral also lists the same sequence under 1 other name. The record is from miRBase by way of RNAcentral.
CCAGUUAGGGUUUAAUGGUUC